This 587-nucleotide long non-coding RNA is filed under the name Homo sapiens (human). Its description in RNAcentral is "HSALNT0050424". Lineage: Eukaryota; Metazoa; Chordata; Mammalia; Primates; Hominidae. The record is from RNAcentral.
AGCAGGAACAACAAACACUUCUGGGUAAAAUUACAUAUAGGAUCCAUUAUGAGAGAAGACUAUGUGAAUCAAUGAGUAAGUCCAAUUUACAUCAGCGAGUCCCACGCCUAACCCACUUCUGUUUGUAUAAACUUGCUGUGAGACUUCAACUGCUUUAAAACAAUCUCCUUAUGGCUCAGUGAAUGAGUCAGGAUUUCUGGGGACCUGAUGCACAAAAUCACGAUCAAAGCUGGUUGGUGAGUCACAUCCUUCAUGAAUGAUCACUCCUGGGCAGGAACAUAUACAGUCUCCCCCCGAUCCCCACCCACUGUUGCUCAGUAUCUCCUCUACCUGGUCAGAGCCAAGGGUCACAGAGACAUUGGCUGGAGACAAGAGUAGAGAUCACAAGAGGACUGAACCAGAAGCCGGCUCCAUGGGACAUUCUUUCUAUUGCUUCGUCUUGGGUAGGAAAGAAUCUUCAGCCAACAGGCUCCUCCUUUCUGAAGACAGAGAAGUGUACACUCAGGUACUCAUAAUCUUUACUGUGCCCAGCUCUCCUGCUUUGGUGCCUACUGAGUGGCCUCUUUUAAUGUGACAACAGUGGCCUC